Molecule: ribosomal RNA, 253 nt
Filed under: uncultured bacterium
Lineage: Bacteria
Description: partial 16S ribosomal RNA
Rfam family: Bacterial small subunit ribosomal RNA
Source: RNAcentral
UACAGAGGGGGCAAGCGUUAUUCGGAAUUAUUGGGCGUAAAGGGCGCGUAGGCGGCCUGGCAAGUGGAAGGUGAAAUCCCACGGCUCACCCGUGGAACUGCUGGGUAUACUGGCGAUCUUGGGCCAACUAGGGGCAGCUGGAACAAGCGGUGGAGCGGUGAAAUGCGUAGAUAUCGCUUGGAACGCCGAAGGUGAAAACAGGCUGCUGGGGUUGUGCCGACGCUGAGACACGAAAGCCAGGGGAGCAAACGGG